UACGUAGGCAGCGAGCGUUGUUCGGAGUUACUGGGCGUAAAGAGUGCGUAGGCGGUUUUCUAAGUUUGGUGUGAAAUCUCCCGGCUCAACUGGGAGGGUGCGCCGAAGACUGGAAGACUAGAGUGUGGGAGAGGUAAGCGGAAUUCCUGGUGUAGCGGUGAAAUGCGUAGAUAUCAGGAAGAACACCGAUGGCGAAGGCAGUUCUCUGGGACGGUACUGACGCUGAGACGCGAAAGCGUGGGGAGCGAACAGG
This 253-nucleotide ribosomal RNA is filed under the name uncultured bacterium. Its description in RNAcentral is "partial 16S ribosomal RNA". It matches the Rfam family "Bacterial small subunit ribosomal RNA", at positions 524 to 776 of the family's 1533-position model. The record is from RNAcentral.